GGAGCAUGUGGUUUAAUUCGAUACAAAGCGAAGAACCUUACCAGGGCUUGACAUGCCACGAAUCCUCUUGAAAGAGAGGGGCGCCUUCGGGAAUGCGGACACAGGUGUGGCUGUCGUCAGCUCGUGCCRUAAGGUGUUGGGUUAAGUCCCGCAAUGAGCGCAACCCUCGUGUUUAGUUGCCACUGUUGAGUUUGGAACCCUGAACAGACUGCCGGUGAUAAGCCGGAGGAAGGUGAGGAUGACGUCAAGUCAUCAUGCCCCUCAUGCCCUGGGCGACACACGUGCUACAAUGGCUGGGACAAAGGGUCGUGAUCCCGCGAGGGUGAGCUAACUCCAAAAACCCGUCCUCAGUUNNNN
Molecule: non-coding RNA, 357 nt
Filed under: Nelumbo nucifera (sacred lotus)
Lineage: Eukaryota; Viridiplantae; Streptophyta; Magnoliopsida; Proteales; Nelumbonaceae
Description: Bacterial small subunit ribosomal RNA
Rfam family: Bacterial small subunit ribosomal RNA
Source: Rfam by way of RNAcentral